UACGUAGGAGGCAAGCGUUGUCCGGAAUCAUUGGGCGUAAAGCGCGUGUAGGCGGCUUGGUAAGUCCGCUCUGAAAGCCCGGGGCUCAACCCCGGGAGGCGGGUGGAUACUGCUGGGCUCGAGUCCGGAAGAGGAGUGUGGAAUUCCUGGUGUAGCGGUGAAAUGCGCAGAUAUCAGGAGGAACACCAAUGGCGAAGGCAGCACUCUGGGACGGUACUGACGCUGAGACGCGAAAGCUAGGGGAGCAAACGGG
This 253-nucleotide ribosomal RNA is filed under the name uncultured bacterium. RNAcentral's name for it is "partial 16S ribosomal RNA". It matches the Rfam family "Bacterial small subunit ribosomal RNA", at positions 524 to 776 of the family's 1533-position model. The record is from RNAcentral.